Molecule: ribosomal RNA, 258 nt
Filed under: uncultured bacterium
Lineage: Bacteria
Description: partial 16S ribosomal RNA
Rfam family: Bacterial small subunit ribosomal RNA
Source: RNAcentral
GAUCCUGGCUCAGGAUGAACGCUAGCUACAGGCUUAACACAUGCAAGUCGAGGGGCAGCAUUUUAGUUUGCUUGCAAACUAAAGGUGGCGACCGGCGCACGGGUGAGUAACACGUAUCCAACCUGCCGAUAACUCGGGGAUAGCCUUUCGAAAGAAAGAUUAAUAUCCGAUGGUAUAUUUUCUCCGCAUGGUGAGAAUAUUAAAGAAUUUCGGUUAUCGAUGGGGAUGCGUUCCAUUAGUUUGUUGGCGGGGUAACGG